RNAcentral lists this ribosomal RNA (254 nucleotides) under uncultured bacterium. RNAcentral's name for it is "partial 16S ribosomal RNA". It matches the Rfam family "Bacterial small subunit ribosomal RNA", at positions 524 to 776 of the family's 1533-position model. The record is from RNAcentral.
UACGUAGGGUGCGAGCGUUAAUCGGAAUUACUGGGCGUAAAGAGUUGCGUAGGUGGUUUGUUAAGCGAAUAGUGAAAUCUUGUGGCUCAACCAUAAGGCUAUUAUUCGAACUGGCAAACUCGAGAAUGGAAGAGGUAUCUGGGAUUCCCAGUGUAGGAGUGAAAUCCGUAGAUAUUGGGAGGAACACCAAUGGCGUAGGCAGGAUACUGGUCCAUUUCUGACACUGAGGCACGAAAGCGUGGGGAGCGAACGGG